Molecule: ribosomal RNA, 397 nt
Filed under: uncultured bacterium
Lineage: Bacteria
Description: partial 16S ribosomal RNA
Rfam family: Bacterial small subunit ribosomal RNA
Source: RNAcentral
AUACGUAGGGGGCGAGCGUUGUCCGGAAUGACUGGGCGUAAAGGGCGUGUAGGCGGCCGAUUAAGUCUGGAGUGAAAGUCCUGCUUUCAAGGUGGGAAUUGCUUUGGAGACUGGUCGGCUUGAGUGCGGAAGAGGUAAGUGGAAUUCCCAGUGUAGCGGUGAAAUGCGUAGAGAUUGGGAGGAACACCAGUGGCGAAGGCGACUUACUGGGCCGUAACUGACGCUGAGGCGCGAAAGCGUGGGGAGCGAACAGGAUUAGAUACCCUGGUAGUCCACGCGGUAAACGAUGAAUGCUAGGUGUAGGGGGUAUCGACCCCUCCUGUGCCGGAGUGAACACAAUAAGCAUUCCGCCUGGGGAGUACGGCCGCAAGGUUGAAACUCAAAUGAAUUGACGGGG